This 1038-nucleotide long non-coding RNA is filed under the name Gadus morhua (Atlantic cod). Its description in RNAcentral is "lncRNA (ENSGMOG00000024100.1)". Lineage: Eukaryota; Metazoa; Chordata; Actinopteri; Gadiformes; Gadidae. The record is from RNAcentral.
CACCAAGAGAUGACGUCAGCGCUGAGCCUGGGUGUUCGAUGCCGGCCGGGAAACCAACCCUGCGCUGAGCUCCACCGACAGGCCAGGCUUUUGUUGACAGAAGGGGACGCAGGCGAAGACAGAGGGAGAUGAAGACAGAUGGAGACGGAAGCCAGCCAGCUCCAUCUACAGGCCAGGCUGUUGUACAAAGUUGUAUAAAGUAGAAGUAGAAAACAUACGUUUUAGGAAAGUUUUAGGAAAGAACAUCAUAUUUCAAGUAAGUGUUUGACUUUUUUUUUCUGUUGAAUAAAUUAAGAUAUUAUAUUUUAAGUAAAGUUAGUAGCUUAAUUUCUUAUGAAGCCCCCAACAUUUUAAUGAAUUUAUAUCUAUAAUAUAACAAUAUAUUAAUGUAGCAUGAUUCAUUAUUGGGCAGUUCUUUAUGUCAUUGAGCUUUGUAAAACAGUGAACUGGCUAGUUUUGUGGUUCUCUUUUUAUUUAUUUACAGAUGACCGAGCCUUAUUUUACUGAAGGGGAGAAGAUGGAUGGUGCUGUGGACAGACGGAGAUGAAGACACAGAGAGGCGAGCACGAAGACAGACGAGGACGAAGACAAUGGGAGACGAAGACACACGUGGAUGAAGGAACAGAGCGAAGAAGGCGAGGAAGAAGAUAGACAGAGACAAAGACUGACAGAGACGAAGACAGACAAAGACGAAGACAGACGGAGAUGAAGACAGACGAAGACGAAGACUGAGUGAGACAAAGACUGAGAGAGAGGAAGACAAACGAAGACGAAGACAGAGAGAGACGAAGACAGUUGGGGAGAGAUGAAGAAGGCAUAGCAAGAUGACCUGACUCUGUUCCUUCUCUCUACCUCUAUAAGGCUCAGAAGAGGGGGAGCAGUGUAGAGGAAGAGGAGUGGAGGGACAUGGUCCAGACCUCCAUACCACAGCUGUACCCCAGCACCUGGUCCUACUACUGCUUCUGACAGAUCAUCCCCACAUCGUUAACUGCCCUUAACACCAUGUCUAACUCAUUCACACCCUACUCUGUUUCCAAU